This 253-nucleotide ribosomal RNA is filed under the name uncultured bacterium. RNAcentral describes it as "partial 16S ribosomal RNA". It matches the Rfam family "Bacterial small subunit ribosomal RNA", at positions 524 to 776 of the family's 1533-position model. The record is from RNAcentral.
UACAUGGGGUGCAAACGUUGCUCGGAAUCAUUGGGCGUAAAGCGCACGUAGGCGGCCCGCUAAGUCGGAUGUGAAAGCCCUCGGCUUAACCGAGGAAGUGCACCCGAAACUGGCAGGCUUGAGUACGAAAGGGGGUCGCGGAAUUCCCGGUGUAGAGGUGAAAUUCGUAGAUAUCGGGAGGAACACCGGUGGCGAAGGCGGCGACCUGGGUCGAUACUGACGCUGAGGUGCGAAAGCGUGGGGAGCAAACAGG